RNAcentral lists this ribosomal RNA (516 nucleotides) under uncultured bacterium. RNAcentral's name for it is "partial 16S ribosomal RNA". It matches the Rfam family "Bacterial small subunit ribosomal RNA", at positions 28 to 523 of the family's 1533-position model. The record is from RNAcentral.
GAUGAACGCUGGUGGCGUGCCUAAUACAUGCAAGUCGAACGCAUUGAGAGAAGUGCUUGCACUUUUCAAUUUGAGUGGCGAACGGGUGAGUAACACGUGGGCAACCUACCUGAUAGCGGGGGAUAACGAGUGUAAACAUUCGCUAAUACCGCAUAACAAGAGAGAAGGCAUCUUCUUUAUUUAAAAUGCGCUUUCAAGCGUCACUAUCAGAUGAGCCCGCGGUGCAUUAGUUAGUUGGUGGGGUGAAGGCCUACCAAGACGAUGAUGCAUAGCCGAGUUGAGAGACUGAUCGGCCACAUUGGGACUGAGACACGGCCCAAACUCCUAAGGGAGGCUGAAGUAGGGAAUCUUCCACAAUGGACGAAAGUCUGAUGGGGCAACGCCGCGUGUGUGAUGAAGGCUUUCGGGUCGUAAAGCACUGUUGUAUGGGAAGAAAUGCUAGGCUAGGAAAUGAGCUUAGUUUGCCGGUACCAUACCAGAAAGGGACGGCUAAAUACGUGCCAGCAGCCGCCGUAA